RNAcentral lists this transfer RNA (71 nucleotides) under Bacteriophage sp. RNAcentral describes it as "tRNA-Pro". It matches the Rfam family "tRNA". Rfam says of the family: Transfer RNA (tRNA) molecules are approximately 80 nucleotides in length. Their secondary structure includes four short double-helical elements and three loops (D, anti-codon, and T loops). The record is from RNAcentral.
GGAGAACGAGGUGUGAUGGUAGCACUCCUGUUUUGGGAACAGGAAGAGCGGUUCGAUUCCGACGUUUUCCA